AAUCUGGGGUCCCCGACCUCCGAGUUGUAAUUUGGAGAGGCAUCUUCGGGGGGGAGCGCCGGCCCAUGUUCCUUGGAACAGGACGUCAGAGAGGGUGAGAAUCCCGUGCCAGGCCGGCUCCCUCCUCCCGGGUGAAGCGCCUUCGACGAGUCGAGUUGUUUGGGAAUGCAGCUCCAAGUGGGUGGUAAGUUUCAUCUAAAGCUAAAUACCGGCGGGAGACCGAUAGCGCACAAGUAGAGUGAUCGAAAGAUGAAAAGCACUUUGAAAAUAGAGUCAAAAAGUACGUGAAAUUGUUGAAAGGGAAGCGCUUGAGACCAGACUCAGGCCCGGGCAAACACCGCGCCCCCCGGGGCCGUGCAAUUGCCUGGGGCUGGGCCAGCAUCAGUCGGCGUGGCGGGACAAAGUCGUGGGGAAUGUGGCUCCCCUCGGGGAGUGUUACCAGCCCCGCGCUCAAUGCCGCCGACGUCGACUGAGGACCGCGCCUCGGCUAGGAUGCUGGCUUAAUGGCCUUCAGCGACCCGUCUUGAAACACGGACCAAGGAGUCUAACAUCUAUGCGAGUGUUUGGGCGUCAAACCCUUGCGCGGAAUGAAAGUGAGCGGAGGUGGGAACCCCCCAGCGGGGCGCACCAUCGACCGAUCCUGAUGUCUUCGGAUGGAUUUGAGUA
This 666-nucleotide ribosomal RNA is filed under the name Helvella panormitana. RNAcentral's name for it is "eukaryotic LSU rRNA". It matches the Rfam family "Eukaryotic large subunit ribosomal RNA", at positions 119 to 796 of the family's 3401-position model. Lineage: Eukaryota; Fungi; Ascomycota; Pezizomycetes; Pezizales; Helvellaceae. The record is from RNAcentral.